This is a non-coding RNA of Paramuricea clavata, 421 nucleotides long. Lineage: Eukaryota; Metazoa; Cnidaria; Anthozoa; Malacalcyonacea; Plexauridae. The record is from the annotation of a GenBank genome assembly.
CUUGCGGAACAUCUGCGUAUGGGUAUCAACACUGGGCAAAGGACGAUUGAUCGGAAUGCAAAUCCCCUAGCGAACAGCGCGGAGCGCCGUUCCGGGCUUGUCAAUUUCGAAAGCAUUUUGAGAUUUUCUUUAAUUAUUUAAAACAACCAUUACAACACAAUCAACACUGAAGAUAAGACAUGAAACCAAACGAAGAGCUGGAAAAAGUGGGGGGAAAGCGUAAAGAUUUGCUAAAAGAAGGGGGCAAAGACGUGACGUUUGCGACAAGAGACUGAAAAAACAUUCAGAAACCCGAAAAACAGUUCAUUUGUUUAGGUAAUAGGACGGUUUUGAGUGGAAUUUGGAUGAACCAUGCACGAGUAUGUUUUUAAAGAUCACCAAAAUAGCACGAGUCCAAAGGACGAGUGCUAUUUGAAGUCUC